Molecule: long non-coding RNA, 20818 nt
Filed under: Homo sapiens (human)
Lineage: Eukaryota; Metazoa; Chordata; Mammalia; Primates; Hominidae
Description: HSALNT0311533
Source: RNAcentral
GCCAGUCUUCUGCCACUCCUUUUCGUGGUCCUUCCCUUCACUGCCUUCCUUCUCCCAGACAGACUGGGCAUCCAGUUCCAAUCCAAAGGCUGCCCCUUUGACCAGGCCCAUCUUCUCCACCUCACAUCAGACAGCCAAUCGGCUGCCCAGACCUCGAAACCUCAGUAACCUAGAAGGUAAGGACUUUCAGAUUUCACCAGGAAGGAUUAUCCCUUCAUGCCUUAUAAAAGUAACAGAACCGGUCGGGCACAGUGGCUCAUGCCUGUAAUCCCAGCACUUUGGGAGGCCAAGGCAGAUGGAUCACCUGAGAUCAGGAGUUUGAGACCAGCCUGGCCAACAUGGUGAAACCCCCUCUCUACUAAAAAUACAAAAAAUUAGCCAGUCAUGGUGGCACACGCCUGUAGUCCUAGCUACUUGGGAGGCUGAGGCAGGAGAAUCACUUGAACCAGGGAGGCGGAGGUUGCAGUGAGCCAAGACCUCAUCAUUGCACUCCAGCCUGGGCAGCAAGAGUGAAACUCUGUCUCAAAAAAUAAAUAAAUAAAUAAAAACUAAUAGAACCUAUCAAUUCAUAGGAAAUGGACCUUGGCAAACGUGUGUCAGGAGAGGAUGACUUGGAGGUGUCCACCGUGUUUCUUACUGAAGGUUUGUUCAAACCUAGAAAUUCACUUGGGACAGCUUAUGAGCCCUCUCCUAUUCUUGGGAAAGCUUUUAAAUUGUCUGACAAAGUCUGUACCCCUGGAGCAUGGGUUAGUUUGUUGAAGUCCACAGACCACACAGUUUCUUUGAAGGUGUGCAGCAUGAGGGUGAGUUCCUCUAUUGCCCACUGAUGGAGAACUCACUUAGGCUGUCUUUUCUCUCCUUCAGAUGUCUAAAAGUCAAUUGGGGUCAAGGAACAAGCCUCUACUCACAUGCAUGUGGGCAAAUGAAGUCACAGAACAAAUAACCUACCCUGCAUCCAGGUUAGAUCCUCCUGCACCAUUUCCUGCUUCUCUGCGGAUCCUGCAAUGUGGACCCCUGUCUGGAUGUGGUGCUGGGGAGGUGGCUCCUCCCUGUCCCAGAGGCCCAUCUCGUGUUCCCACACAGGCACGGAGUCCAGGGACACCCCCUGCUGCUGCCUAAGAGAAAGUGGCCCAAGAAGCACUGGCCCGGUGCCUGCUGAUGCCAGGAGCCCUCUGCUACUGCCUGACACAAGCAUCCUGCGCUUCCCCCUCCCAGGCCCUCCCCGAAAGCGUGGGCCACAGGUACCACUCCCUAUGCCACUGAGCCCCACAUUUCCCAUCCCCCAAGCCACUCCCACCAGCCCCAGAGCUUUCCUACAUUUAUGAUUUGUCCAAAAAUGUGAUGCCCUUCAGCCCCCAGAAGGUCAUCCUCCAGGCUGUGAUCGUCACACAGGGGGUCCCACAUGGGGUCCUCACAGGCCUUCAACCCAGCACAAAUCGUGGCCUGGUUUGACCUUUGAAAUAUCUCAACAUCUAAAAUUCAGAGCUUUUUUGGAAUAUUUAUUUUCCAUAGAUAUAAUUCUUUCAAAUAAAUUCCUUAGAAAACAAUAUCCAGUGUUUCAUUAUUUGUGCUAACAUGUGCUUUUCCCAUUUUGGAGAUGAAAAAUAUCAUUAGAAAUAAAAACUCAAGGGACAGAUUAAACAUCAGAUAAGAUGCAGUUAGCAGGCCGGGCGCAGUAAAGGUUGCAGUGAGCUGAGAUCGCGCCACUCCAGCCUGGGCGACAGAGCAAAACUCCAUCACCCACGCACAAAAAAGAUAAGAUGCAGGUAGCAGAGGGGCCAAGUGAACUCAAACAAGAUCUGAAGUGCAAUCUUCCUUAAGGAGUCCAGAGAUGGGUGACAGGACAUUUGAAGGAAAAGUUCCAACAGAGCACAGACAGGCUCUAGGAGAUCACACAGGGAAAGGGGAGGCUACAUCCAAGAGAUAAAGCUGAGAAUUUCCCAAAAUUGAUGGAAAACAGGAAUUCUCAGAGUGAGGGAUGCCACUGAAUCCCACAGAGGAUAAUUGAAAACAUCCACACUUAGUUACAUUGUAGCAAAAGCAUGAAACACUGAAGAUAAACCUUGAAAGCUGCUAGGGAAAAUAUCUGAUGAAUUGAAAUUAAAAAUGAUAAAAUUUAAUGAAAUAGUAUCAUUAACAUACUGAAAAAAAUCAGACAUCUCAGAUUUGUACGUUCAGCUAAUUAUUCAACAAUUAGGGAACUAUGAAGACUUUCAAGAUAAAAAGUUUACCAUGAGCAGACCUGGACUACAGGAAUGUCUUGCUAAAGAACGGUUUUGGUCUGGGCACUGUGGCUCAUGCCUGUAAUUCCAGCAUUUUGGGAGGCCGAGACAGAAGCAACACUUGAGGCCAGGAGUUCAAACCAGCCUAGCAAGACCCCCAUCUCUACAUAAAAGUUUUUAAAAAAUUAGCUGGGUGUGGUGUUACGCACCUGUAGCCCUAGCUAUUCAGGAGGCUAAGGUGGGAGGAUCACUUGAGGCUAGGAGUUUGAGGCUGCAGUGAGUUAGGAUAGCACCACUGCACUUCAGCCAGGGCAACAGAGCAACACUCUGUCUCAAAAAAAAAAAUAAAAUAAAAUAAAGCAGUGUUCCUUAAUCUUGGCACUCUUGACAUUUGGGACUGGAUAAUUCCUUGUUGUUGCGACAGCACUGGGCAGUGUAGAAUGUUUAGCAGUAUCCCCGUCCUCGAGAUGGGGAGGCUGGCACCUCAUGUAAAAUGUUUGGCCAGGUUGCAGCCUGUGUUAGCUUGGAGGGUGGAUCAUAAUUUGACCAAAUCUGUGGCAUUAGGAAAACGGCAAGAAUCCAGAAUGCUGGUUUUGUUGGCUCCUCCUUGGCUGCUUUUAACAAAGUCCUGUGAGAAAAGUGGUCUCUGGCUGGAGCUUGCCAGUGUGCAAGGAGAGCUAGAAGGAUCCAGAGUGUUGUUAAUGUAGGUAACCCCUGACUGGCCUGCCACACACAAACAGUUGAAUAAUUUGGUGCCUUGCAAGUUUGAAAAAAAUCAGCCACUCAUACACCCCAGCCAAGGCAGUUGUGAGCUGUGGCUCUGAAGAGGCAGUCUUUGUAGGAGAUAGCCCUGGUGCUGCUAGCAAAGACAAGAUUUUGGGUGUUGCUUCUCAUAGCAAGCCUAUGAUAUUAGUGAACAUGGAGAGAUCUGGCACAAUCAAGCGUUGCUAAAAGGAACUCAAAGGCCUGCUACAAAUUUCAUAGAGCUGGACAUAGGCCAUCCCCAGUGAGCCAGGACAAAAACUAGGCAGAGCCCAAUGUCCAUAAAGUGUGGGCUGGAUGGCUGAGCACGGUGGCUCAUGCUUGCAAUCCCAGCACUUUGGGAGGCUGAGGCGGGUGGAUCACCUGAGGUCAGCAGUUCGUGACCACUCCGGCCAACAUGGUGAAACCCCGUCUCUACUAAAAAUACAAAAAUUAGCCGGGUAUGGUGGCGCAUGCCUGUAAUCCCAGCUAUUUGGAAGGCUGAGGCAGGAGAAUCACUUGAACCUGCGAGGCGGAGGUUGCAGUGAGCCGAGAUACUACCACUAUACUCCAGCUUGGGUGACAGAGUAAGACUCCGUCUCAAAAAAAAAAAAAAAAAAAAAAAAAAAAGAAAGAAAGAAGAAAAAAAAAAGAGUGGGCUAGAGCUCCACAGUGGUAUCAUCAUACACAGAAUACCAUGAUAUAAUGAAAAUACAGCAUCAUCACAUGCAAUGACAUACAUAAAACUGACAAACGUAAUUUUGAGCAAAAAAUGCAAGACAGACAAUACUUUAUUACUUCAUUUCUAUAAAGUACAAAAACAGGCAAAAGUAAACCAUAUUUAAAGAUGUCUAUAACAGUGGUAAAUACUGUGUAAAGGUUGUCGGCUACUUCUGACCUAAAGGGUGAAAACAACCACAGACAAUAUGUAAAUGAAUGAAUAUAUCUGAAGAUUAUAUGAAAUUUAUUUUUUAUUUUUUAUUUUUUUGAGACAGGGUCGCUCUGUCUUCUGGGCACCAUUUCAGCUCACAGCAACCUCUGCCUCCUGUGUUCAAGCUAUUCUCCCAUCUUAGCCUCCCAGCUGGGAUUACAGGCAUGAGCCACUGCACGUGGCUACAUGUUUUGUAUUUUUAGUAGAGACGGGGUUUCACCAUGUUGGCCAGGCUGGUCUCGAACUCCUGACCUCAAGUGAUCCACCUGCCUCAGCCUCCCAAAGUGCUGAGAUUACAGGCGUUGAGCCACCAUGCCCAGCCCUUGAAAUUUAAAUUUCAAUGUCUCUAAAUGAAGUUUUAUUGGAACACAUCUACACUCAUUUGUGUGUGUGUGUCUGUGUGUGUGUGUGUGUGUGUGUGUGUGUGUGUGUGGAUGGAGAUAGAGAGAGAGGGAUUUAUGAAUUUAUGAUAAGGAAUUGGCUUAUAGAAUUAAGGAGGCUGGCAAGUCCCAAAUCUUCAGGGUGGAUGAGCAGGCUGGAGAACCAGGAGAAUACAUAUUCCAGUGAGAGCCCAGUGGCACCUGCUGUGGAGCAGGAUUAGUAGAUGGUGUGCAUGAACUCUGAAGGCAGUCUGCGGAAGAAUUCUCUCUUGCCUGAGAGAGAGUCUGGGGCAGCCAGACUUUAUGUUCUCCUCAGGUCUUCAGGUGAUUGGAUGAAGCCCACCCACAGAUAGAGGGCAAUCUGCUUUCCUCAAAGUCCACAAAUUUAAACGUUAAUCUCAUCCAAAGCAACCUCACAGAAACACCCAGCAUAAUGUUUGAUCAAAUACCUGGGGACCUUGUGGCUCAGCCAAGUUGACACCUAAAAUUUACCCUCACACUCCAGUCCUCCAACAUCCCAGCUUCCCUCUUACAUCCCUGAAUGGCAGAACCCAACAAGGAACCAGCUGGCGAAGCAGCAUCGUGCCUGUUCUUUGUUGCCUGUGUUUUUCAUUUUAAGUCGGUGGAGUUACAACCCAUGGAUUCCUUUGUGUCUGCUUCCUUUUCAUUAAAAUUCUGCUCAUGGAUUCAUCCCUGCAGUAGGUUCAUUUUCAGGUGGAAGUGUAGGAAGCACAGGAGAUCACAGAAGACCUCAGCAGGCCAGCUUUGCAACAUCCUAACAAGGAGACGGGAAACUGAAGUACCACAGGAAGGAGAUACUCUCCAUCUCUCACCACCCAAAGCUUCCUGGGAUGCUAAGGGUCAUCGUUCUUUUUUUUUUUUUUUCCCGCUCUGUUGUCCAGGCUGGAGUGCAGUGGCACUAUCUCGGCUCACCACAACGUCCGCCUCCCAGGUUCAAACGAUUCUCCUGUCUCAGCCUCCCCAGUAGCUGGGAUUUACAGGUGCCCGCUACCACGCCUGGCUACUUUUGUAUUUUUAGUAGAGACAGGGAGUUCAGACUGGUCUCGAACUCCCGUUCUCAGGUGAUCUGCCCACCUCAGCCUCCCAAAGUGUUGGGAUUACAGGUGUGAGCCACCGUGCCUGGCCUAAGCCUCACUGUUCUUUUCAUCUUUCCUGCUGAGACAGGAGAUUGAGGAUGUGGACAUUUUGUUGAGGAAAGAAAUAGGACAGACAACUCAAUGAAGUCUCAGAGAGCCAUUCUAAGAACCCAUGUUCUAUUUCCAGAACCCACGUCAGGCCAUUACUGGGGGGUCUGAUGGGGUUAUGAGAGAAAUGCCCAGGGAGGGAGACUGGAGAAGGUUCAGGGACCAAGUUCUGGCUUCUGCCCUUAGAGGAGCCGGACCUGCAGAGAGAGAGUGGGAAAGUGGAGAACCAUCAGCUCACUUUCCCUCACGCCAUGGCAAAAGCAUCUCCAUCAGGCAGGACUGGCUUCACAGGCAGGCAGCCUGGGCAGCCCUGCGGGGCCCCACACUUAGAAUGGCCUCCGCCUGCUAUCUUGCUCUGCUGUCAGGGUCUUGAAAUUCUGAAUGGUCUUGAACAUCAUGCACUGCACCUGGCAAAAUAGCCGGUCCUGAUCAGGUCUCAAGGCAGCCCUGGACUUUGGAAGGCAGCACUGACGCCCCACUGAGGAAAGGAAUGGCUGCUGAGGACUGAGAACUAGAGCUGAGACUCCCAGGCAGCCCCUUUGGAAAACAGUUUGGCAUUUCCCCAAAAUGUUAAAUGUGGAAUUAUGUGAUUCAGAAAAUCACAUACAAAAUUGUCUCGUGUCCCUUUUAAACAUAUAGAAUGUAACUAUUGGAAAGAGAGAGAAAAAGGGCCUGGCUUGGUGGCUCACUUCUGUAAUCCCAGCACUUUGGGAGGCUGAGGUGGGCAGAUCACUUGAGGUCAAGAGUUCAAGACCAAGCUGGCUAACAUGGUGAAACCCUGCCUUUACCAAAAAAAAAAAAAAAAAAAUUAGCCGGGCGUGGUGGCGCACACCUGUAGUCCCAACAGGCUGAGGAAGCAGCUUCACUUGUACCCAGGAGGUGCAGGUUGCAGUGAGCCAAGAUUGCCUCCACUCCAGCUCGAGCUACAGAGUGAGACUCUGUCUCAAAAAAGAAAAAAAAAAGAGAGAAAGAAGUUUUGGAAACAUUAUUUGCCCUUAGCCAUGUUGUGGGUUUAUUUCCUACACUGAGUCAUAUUAUGUGUCUUCCAACAUGUCUGGAGCAGUUGCUACUCCCUGUACACCAGGUCCAGUGACUAUAAUGUCAUCAAUAUAAUGGACCAGUGUGUCGUCCUGAGGGUGAAAAGGUUCUCAAAGGACCUGGGAACUAGAUCAUGAGCUGGGCGGCAGAGUUGAGGCAGCCUUGAGAUAGGGUGGUGAAGGUGUAUCUAGCUGAAAGCAAACUGUUCCUGAUGGUCUUUACUCACAGGUAUAGAGAAACAUUCACCAGAUGGGUAACUGGGCAGCCAAGGGGAUAAUCGGAUCGGGUGUGCCACACUUCGCCUGCCCCGCUUGCUUUUGGUUGCUUGCUCUUUGUUAUUUUUUCCCCCAUGAAGCUGAAGGCCACGAUAGCUGAAGGCUAUGCUAUUGAACACUGUAACUCAACUUUUACGUGCUACCUUAUAGAUAACAUUUAUAAGUCACCAUAACAACCACUUAUUUUUCAGGAACUUGGGGCAGAUCCUGUCCAGUUCAAACCAGUUGAGACUGCCAACCCUUCAACUGGGCCUGUACACAUGCCCAAGAGGUGGCCUUUUGACAUCAGAGGGCCAAAAACUCCACCCUCAGAUCAUGUUAACGCCACCAUUUUCUGCACAUAUGUCAUAUGAACCCCAAUUAUGACUGCAUUUUUCCCCACUGCCAAUCACCUUUCCCCAUGCCUCAGACCACCCUACUUCUCUAACCUAUAAAUCUCUCUAAGCCUCAUCUUUGGGGAGGUGAAUUUGAGAGCCAUUCUCCCAUCUCCUCACUGGACAGCCUUGUGAAUAAUUCUUCUCUCUUUUGCAAAACCCAUGUCACAGUGAUUGAUUUACUGUGUGAGAACAGAACAAACCUGGGCCUGGCUCAGUAACAACUGCAAACCAGUUGUCAGACGUAUCGUUUGCUCAGCACUGAAACCACAUGUGGAAACAGCACCUGCACUUGGAAUCACUAGUUAAUUAAGUUUACAAUUAAUCCAAUUGUCAUUCUCCAAGAUCCAUCUGUCUUCUGCACAGGCUGAGUAGGUGAGCUAAGUGGAGAUGUGUUCCCGUCUUUGAUGGUGGCACUAAUCUCAACAAUCUCUCCAGGAAUGUGGUAUUAGUUUGCUUUAAUAUUUUUGUGAAUGAGGCAGCUCUAGUGGCUUCUACUUGGCCUUUUCUACCAGAAUUACUUUUACUGUAUGGAUCAGGGAACUAGUGUGGGAUUCUGCCCAUUGUUGACUAUGUCUAUUCUAAUUACGCAUUCUAGAACCAGGGAAAUAACCAUAGGAUGGGUUCAGGAAUCUACUAGAUCUACUGUGAGAUGAAUCUGAGCCAAAAAGCCCAUUGAUCACCUGACCUCCAUACACUCUUACUCUGAGGAACCAUGGUGGCAUUUUGAGUCUCCUGUAAUUACUGCUAGUUCAGAACUAGAGGCUGGUUAUCCCAGAAAAGUCUAAUUAUUUGCCCUUCCCAAUGCACAAUCACUCUGAUAAAUGGCCUUGGGUGCCUUUGGGGAGGCCUAGGAAGAUAAAAAGUAUAAAUUAUUGUCAGUGCAGCAGGGUCCUACUUCAAAGGGACCUGGCCUAUCCUUUAUUCAAGAAGCUGUGGGUUUGUGAACUAGAUCAAGACUUGGAAUUGACUGAGUGAUUGUAACUCUGUGUUGGUAAUUUAGGUCAGACUUUAUUCACCAGAUCUGGAGCUUUCCUACUUACUCGGAUCAAGUAAAACUUUAGUAGGCAGCCCAUCCAUUUCAGUUCUCAGGACACUAUGAUCAGCAGGCAGACAUCACAGAUCUCUGUGGGUCAGACCAUUCAGGAUCCUGCUUUGGCUGCACUGUCCAUGGCAGUCACCACACCAAUUGUGUUUUUGGUGACUAAGUGUUACCAUAUGGUCCCUGCCUCCUCAGGAUUCCAUCAGCCCCACUGCACUUCAGGGAGCAUUUCCCACUGUAAUGUGGCCUGUAUAGAAUAUCUGGCACUCUCUACAUGAAUUUAUUUCUCAUAAUGAAGUGUCCUCUGGACCCUCCCUGGGUGGGUGAGCAGGUAUUUACAUGAUAAAUACUCAAGCAUUUUUAUCUCCUUAAGCAUUUACAUAUCUUCCUCUACAGUAUACCAACGAAGUUCUCGCAUUUCAACUCAUUCAGUGCAGGUUAUGUUUGCAUUCGUGUUUUUUUUUUCUUUUGGAGAUGAGUUCUCACUAUAUUGCCCAAGCCAGUCUCAAACUCCUGGCCUCAAGCAAUCCUCCCACCUCAGCCUCCCAAGCUGGGAUUACAGUGAGUCCAUAUCUCAACAACUCAAAGCAAAUGAAGACAGCCAUUCUCAGCUUCUCAAGUUAAAACAAUGAACCACAAAUCUCUGCUUAAUUAUCCCAUAUCGAAUAAUUCAGCUUGAUCUGACUUUAUAUUCCUUCCACGAUGAUCCUGCACCCUUGUUACCGCAAAAGGUUCCCAAUCCAGACCCCAAGAGAGGGUUCUUGGAUCUCGCACAAGAAAGAAUUCAGGGCGAGUCCGUAAAGAGAAAGCAAGUUUAUUAAGUAAAGGAAUAAAAGAAUGGCUACUCCAUAGACAGAGCAGCCCCGAGGGCUGCUGGUUGUCUAUUUUAUGGUUUCUUGAUGAUAUGCUAAACAAGGGGUGGAUUAUUCAUGCCUCCCCUCUCCAGGCCAUAUAGGGUAACUUCCUGAUGUUGCCAUGGCAACUGUAAACUGUCAUGGCACUGGUGGGAGGGUAGCAGUGAGGAUGACCAGAGGUCAUUCUCAUCACCGUCUUGGUUUUGGUGGGUUUUAGCUGGCUUCUUUACUGCAACCUGCUUUAUCAGCAAGGUCUUUGUGGCCUGGAUCUUGUGCCAAUCUCCUAUCUCAUCCCGUGACUUAGAAUGCCUUAACCGUCUGGGAAUGCAGCCCAGUAGGUCUCAGCCUCAUUUUGUUACAGGAAAGGGGUCCCGAUCCAGACUCUUAAGAGAGUUCUUGGAUCUCGUGCAAGAAAGGAUUCAGGGCAAGUCCGCAGUGCAAAGCAAAAACAAGUUUAUUAAGAAAGUAAAGUGGUGAAAGGACAGCUACUCCAUAGAGUAGGAUGGAGUAACCUCUAACCUGAGGUCAGUCAAGUGUCCUUGCCUUUUAUUAAGAGGGGCCUCUAACUCACUCUGUCUUAGGAGAAACUCCAACUCCCCUAAGUUGGGCCUCUAACCCAAUCCCAUUUGUUACUCGGGUACCCCAUCACUUACCCAAAGUCGUCCAAUCAGUGCUGCAGUCUAUUUCUUUGGGGUUGGGGGGAUUUCUUCAGUAUCAUCCUUUCUGUGGUUUGCCAGAAAUAUGUUACAGGACCCCAACACUUACGCAAAGGUAGCCGUUGGGUCAACGUUUCUGCACUAUAGUCCCUUCUGUGGUCACCAGAAAUAUGUUACAGGAAAGGGGUCCCAAUUCAAUCCUAGAGGGUAGGAAUGCCUAACUUUCUGAGAAUGCAGGCCAGUAAGUCUCAGCCUCAUUUUCCCAGCCCUCACUCAAAAUGGAGUCGCUCUGGUUCAAAUACCUCUGACACUUUUACCCAGCCCCUAUUCAACAUGGAGUUGCUCUCGUUCCAAUGCUUCUGACGCUAUCUCUACAGAUUCCCCAGGUUUCUAUAAAAAUUGGCAAAAUUAUGCAAUUUGGAGAGUACUGUAUCUCCUCAGUCACAUUUUGCACUUCACUUUUUUUUUUUUUUAAUUGAGACAAAGUUUCACUCUGUCGCCCAGGCUGGAGUGCAGUUGUGCGAUCUCGGCUCACUGCAACUUCCACCUCCUGGGUUCAAGUGAUUCUCCUGCCUCAGCCUCCCCAGUAGCUAGGAUUACAGGCACACACCACCACACCCGGCUAAUUUUUGUAUUUUUAAUAGAGAUGGGGUUUCACCAUAUUGGCCAGGCUGGCUGGUCUCAAUCUCCUGAUCUCGUGAUCUGCCCGCCUCAGCCUCCCGAGUAGCUGGGACUACAGGCGCCCGCUGCCACGCCCGGUUAAUUUUUUGUAUUUUUACUAGAGACGGGGUUUCACCGCGUUAGCCAGCAUGGUCUCGAUCUCUUGACCUCGUGAUCUGCCCGCCUCAGCCUCCCAAAGUGCUGGGAUUACAGGUGUGAGCCACCGUGCCUGGCCAAAAAAAUAAUUUUUUUAAAAGGACUCCAGGCAAUGAUAGACUGGAUUAAGAAAAUGUGGCACACAUACACCAUGGAAUACUAUGCAGCCAUAAAAAAUGAUGAGUUCAUGUCCUUUGUAGGGACAUGGAUGAAGGUGGAAAUAAUCAUUCUCAGUAAACUAUCGCAAGAACAAAAAACCAAACACCGCAUAUUCUCACUCAUAGGUGGGAAUUGAACAAUGAGAAAACAUGGACACAGGAAGGGGAACAUCACACUCUGGGGACUGUUGUGGGGUGGGGGGAGGGGGGGAGGGAUAGCAUUGGGAGAUAUACCUAAUGCUAGAUGAUGAGUUAGUGGGUGCAGCGCACCAGCAUGGCACAUGUAUACAUAUGUAACUAACCUGCACAUUGUGCACAUGUACCCUAAAAGUAUAAAAAAAAAAAAAACAAGGACUCCAGGCAUGGUGGCUCACACCUGUAAUCCCAGCACUUUGGCAAGCUGAGGCAGGUGGGUCACUUGAGGUCAGGAGUUCAAGACCAGCUUGGGCAACAUGGCCAAACCUUGUCUCUACAAAAAUACAAAAAUUAGCUGGGUGUGGUGGUGCACGCUUGUAGUCCCAGCUAGUCAGGAGGCUGAGGCUGGAGAAUCGCUUGAGCCUGGGAAAGUGGAGGUUGCAGUGAGCUGAGAUCGUGCCACUGCACUCCAGCCUGGGUGACAGGGUGAGACCUUGUCUCAAAAAAAAAAAAAAAAAAAAAGCAAAACGCAAAAAGCAGUGGUGACCAUAGGUCAUGAGCAACGUCAGCGGACUUUUGGAAGACAUAUACCUCAGGGAAGGCCAUUACAUGUUCUUCAGGCAAAAGGUGGUUAACUAACACUCAAAGUCUCAUUGUGACCCUCCCUUCUGCUCCCUGCCCCAGCAUUAGUAGCUGGGACCUCUCCACAGAAGCACAGAUCCAAAGGCCACAGGGCCCCUCCCUGAGCACAGACACUAUGUCAGCCCAGCAGUCCACUCCUCCACCAUAGGUCUGAGUUCAGCUCCACAAGGUCCCUCUUCCAAUCUCCCACCUUUCAACAAUUCUAGCCACGUCUCUUUGUUCCUGCUUUGCACUUUGCUCCACAUGAGGUGGGAUCAAUAAACUACCAUCACUCAAAACUGGUUCGGAUGUUGAAACUGAUGACACUGCAGACACCAAGAGGUUAUGAAAAAGUUUACUACUCACAUGAGGCCUUCUAGGGAAAGCAAAGCGGGCACCCACGCCAGUCUGUUGGGCUUCAGUGAAAGGACGAACAAGUGGCUCUGGUUUUUGUUGUGGUUAUGAGAGCUCAGUGCAUUUGACAGUCAGGGUUUGCACAGUUUGAACUUCCCCUCUGACGCAAAGAGGAAGUGGCUGGGCUUUCUUAUCAGCUUGUCCAGAUCCAGGCAAACUGAGGGGGAGAGCUUGAAUGCUAUUAGCAGACAAACGUCAAACAUGGGGAGACUCUAUUCUAGCUCCCCCAGUCCUGGGGUGGCAGCUGCUUAGCAGUUGCUACCUCCAAGACACCUUGGCAUUUUCUUCUUGCCUUUUUAGCUACUUAAAUAUAGUACACUUCUUUAUAAGGUCUUUGCUAAAAUAACUGGUGUGGUUUCUGGCAACUAAAACCUGGCUGAUAUAAAAUCUCCUUGCUGUUCUUAGCAGGGUUAACAUUAACUUUAAAAGGUGUGGUAGCUGGCAUACAAGUAUUUACUCUCCUUUUCCUCAUCUAAUAAAGUAGAAUGAAAAACAUCUCCAUCUUCUGGAUCCCAUUUCUUCAUUAAAAUUAUGAGUUUACAGCUUCUGGCUUCACUUGUUAUUUAUUAAGCAAAAUUAAGGAGAUUUAGGCAAGGAGGAGCUUAUAAUUUCCUAUAAAGUGCAUGUCUUGGUGACUGUGCGUCAGUAUAUAGAGAACAUCCUCAUUUUUAAAAAAACUGUGGCCUGGUAUUUCAUCAUAGAUGUACUAGAGUUACUUAAGCGUUCGUUUACUAAUAGCCAUUUGUAUUGCUCCUGUUACCAGAAAGCGGUCGUGAUCCAGUCCCCAAGAGAGAGUUCUUGGACCUUGCUCAAGAAAAGAAUUCGGGCGAGUCCACAAAGUGAAAGUAGUUAAUAUUAAGAAAGUAAAGAAAUACAGAAUGGCUACUCCAUAGGAAGAGUAGCCCCAAGGGCUGCUGGUUGCCUAUUUUUAUGGUUAUUUAUUGAUUAUAUGCUAAACAAGGGGUAGAUUAUUCAUAAGUUUCCCGGGAAAGGUGUGAGCAAUUACCAGAACUGAGGGUUCCUCUCCUUUUUAGACCAUAUAGUGUUACUUCCUGAUGUUGCCAUGGCAUUUUUUUUUUUUUUUUUUGAGACAGAGUCUUGCUCUGUCACCCAGGCUGGAGUGCAGUGGCACCAUCUUGGCUCACUGCAACCUCCAACUCCCGGGAUCUAGAGAUUCUCCUGCCUCAGCCUCUCAAGUAGCUGGGAUUACAGGCACGUGCCACCAUGCCCAGCUAAUUUUUGUAUUUUUUAGUAGAGACAGGGUUUCACCAUGUUGGCCAGGCUGGUCUCAAUCUCCUGACCUCAUAAUCCGCCCGCCUUGGCCUCCCAAAGUGCUGGGAUUACAGGCAUGAGCCAUCGUGCCAGGCCUGCCAUGGCGUUUGUAAACUGUCAUGGCACUGGUGGGAGUGUCUGUUAGCAUGCUAAUGCAUUAUAAUUACAGUAUAAUUACAGCAGUGAGGACAACCAGAGGUCACUUUCAUUGCCAUCUUGGUUUUGACCGGCUUCUUUACCACAUGCUGUUUUAUUGGCAAGGUCUUUAUGACUGUAUCUUGUGCUGACCUCCUAUCUCAUCCCAUGACUUGGAAUGCCUAACCUCCUGGGAAUGCAGCCCAGUAGGUCUCAGCCUUAUUUUACCCAGUUCCCUAUUCAAGAUGGAGUCACUCUGGUUCAAACGCCUCUGACACUCCCAAUUUUUGCAGGUGAGGAAAUGGAAGCCUUGAAAGAUUAGGUGGCUCACUCUAAGUAACAUCAUGUACCUGGCAGGGAUUUCUAUAAAGUCAUAAGAUGUCAGAGACUAUGCUUAAGAAAUAUUUUUACUUUGAAACACUUUAAGCAAACAGUUAAAAAGUACCCACCACACUACCCUGUAAAAAUCUUAACAUUGUGAUGCCUCUGCAUCAAUUUUUAGAAAAAAACAAAGAAAACACAACUGAAGGCCCCAUGUACCCUCCCCAAAUCCAUCAGGUCUCCUGCCUUAGGAAGGCAGAAUGGUGACUUGCACACAUCGUUCCAAUACAUGAUUUUAUACUCAUUUCAUAUUAUUUGAAUCCACAGAAAAUAGAUUACUGUGCAAAACAAUAACACUUUCUAUAUGUCCACAAGGCUUACAUGCUAGACACUAUUCUAAGCAUUUUACAUGCAUUACUUCAUUGACCACCCCCCCACCCACAAUCACCCUGUGAGAUUGCCACUACUAUCCCAUUUUACAGAAAAAGUGAAAAACAAGUUGAAGUAACGUGCCCACAGGUACACAGUAUGCUUAACUUUACACUAAGGGUACCUUGUAUGUAGCUUCACCAACUUUCUCAGCAUAAUUUUUCAUCUAUCUGUGUUGAGACGUAACUCUUUCAUAUUCACUUUCCAAGGACCAAAAACAACCCAUUUAUUUAUCCAUUCUUCUGCUGAUGAAAUGCAGGCUUUUCCCAAUCUUGCUACCUAAACAAUACUUCAGUGAAGUCUUAAAAUCAUUCUCUGUUCACAUGGCACUUCUCUAGGAUGCAUCCAGGAGUAGUUGCUGGGUGGUUAAGUGCACACAACCUUCCAAGAUUUUGCAAAUUGCCUGGCACAAUAUUUCUCACAAUUUCUACUCAUAAAGCAGUGUGAAUUAUCGUUGUUCCACGCACUUACCCACACUUGGGCUUUCAAAAAUGUGCCAGCUUUCUGAGUGUGAGAUGGUCUGUAUUAUUUUACAUUUCAGUCAGUCUUGGUCAGCAGGGGUGGGGCAGACCACACUGAACAGGUGACAGAAAGACCUUCAAAUACCCACUCCAGCCAUCUGGCUCUCCUCAACCCCAACUUCAGUUCCUCCAAGGGAGUGGGGGAAAGGUGGGAAGGGUUGGAAGGAAACUGAAUGUUCUCCAGGCCAGGAUGAGAUGCAAGAUGAGACCUGGUGCUCAGGGCAAUCAGAAACUGUCAACUGAAGCCAAACAGCUCAGAACCACCCACAGCCGGGUUCCUAACCAGCAGGUGUGUGUUUGUGGGUGGCUUCCAGUCAACAUUUCACCCCACAGCCCCUUAAAAAAAACCCAACCCUGACUCAGCCAAACUAAAUUCAGCUUCAGAUUCCUUAACAGAGGUAAUUUUGUGCAAGAUAUUUUCUGCAUGGCAAACAGAUAAAUAAGCACCCAACCCUGGCUUCCAGAGUGCUUGGUCUGGCUAUGGAGAUGGGCAUAACCAAAAACACAAACAUCACCUGACAUAGGAACCAAGAGAGGUGGGGCCACGGGUUUAGAGGCACAAGGGUCAGACAAGGUCAGGCCUUGAAGAAUGAAGAGCUGAACUGGCAGAGAGAGGGGUGUGGCACUCCAGGUGAAGGGAGGCAGCACAAGGCAGAACACUCUGGGGGGCUGGCAUGGGGAAGGGACAGGAAAGCCAAAUCCAACAUUGAUUCUGCCAAAAUCUUUAGUAGUUAGCACCAAGUAGUCAGGCUUCUACUUUUUUUCCUUUCAGCUAAUCUGAAUUCAUUAAUAUUUAUAUAAUUAUAGUACUUAUAGAACUAAAAUUAUUUGAAAACUCAGGUUAUUGGACAAAUAGGUUCAGUAUAAUCCCAAAUAUAAACAGCUUACUUCAGGAUAAAAUAAUUUCUGUUCUUUUGGCCGGGCACAGUGGCUCACACCUGUAAUCCCAGCAUUUUGGGAGGCCGAGGCGGGUGGAUCACGACGUCAGGAGAUCGAGACCAUCCUGGAGAUCGAGACCAUCCUGGAGAUCGAGACCAUCCUGGCUAACACAGUGAAACCCCGUCUCUACUAAAAAUAUAAAAAAUAACCCAGGCGUGGUGGCAGGCACUUGUAGUCCCAGCUACUGAGGAGGCUGAGGCAGGAGAAUGGUGUGAGCCCAGGAGGCAGAGCUUGCAGUGAGCGGAGAUCGCGCCACUGCACUCUAGCCUGGGUAACAGAGUGAGACUCCGUAUCAAAAAAAAAAAAAAAUUCAGUUUUUCACUUCAUUCUUUGCACAUUUUAAAAUUUGAUUAGAAUGUUUAGAAAUAAGCACAUUUCAUUCUAUAAAAAUGACAGGUCAGGCACAGUGGCUCACGCCUGUAAUCCCAGCACUUUGGGAGGCAGAGGUGGGUGGAUUGCUUGAGCCCAGGAGUUUGAGACCAGCAUGAGCAACAUGGGAAAAAAAAAUAAAAGUUUUGUCUCUACAAAAAAAUAUAAAAAAUUAGCUGGCAGGGUGGCACACACCUGUAGCCCCAGCUACUCGGGAGGCUCAGAUGGGACCUGAGCCUGGGAGGUCAAGGCUGCAGUAAGCUGUGAUCCUGCCACUGCACUCCACCCUGGGCAACCCUGUCUCAAAAAAUAAAAAAGACAGUAAAAAUAUCCCUAUACUGGGGCAGGAACUUUACAAGGUAUCCUGUGGCAAAGGGAGCAGAGAUGGGGGGAAAGGGGUGCUAAAAGUUUGAUUGGAAAGGGACUUUUCCAUGGUUACAACACCAACUGACAUGGAAGCUGCACCUCUGAGAGGGCCCUGGUCCUAGAGGUCAACCACCUGAUGGAGAGCCUUGGUAAACCAAGCCCUCUUUCACCAAUCUCAGGAAUCAGGUAGCACAGCCAAGCACUCUAACUUCACACAUAAGGAAAUUGAUGCAGAGGUUCAUUGACUUGCUCAAGAUCAAUCCUGCCAAGAAAAGGCACACCAUGCCUGGAACCCAGAUCUGAUGACUCCAAGACCCUUCCUAUGACUCUGGCCCCCCUGCCCAGCCACUUCUAGUGCCAGUUUUGGGACAGUGAAGGGACAUCUUCAGUGCCAUGAACAGCUGCUGCCGUAGGAAGGCAAGAGGAUGGCAGAACCAAGAUGACCAAACCUUCCUGAGGACAAAGCUGAACAGGCAUCAGAACACCAACAGGAGACUUCUGCCCCGCCCCCACCAUCCUGUGACACCACCACACAAUAUCAGAGCCUUCAUUUUCACCUGCUCAUGGCAAUCCAGAGCAGGUAAGAUUAUUCCAUACUCUACUGAAAAAGACAUCUUCCAGGUUGGUUUCUUCUCAUUUCAAGAAAUGACCAGCUCCAUGAACGGGCCCCUAUAGUCAGGACACUGCUCUACUAUUAAAACAUUUUAUCCUUUCAUUCAUAAUCUGACCUCUUCAAUAAUCAGAAGCAAUGAUUACUCACAUGCUUUAGCAAUAUCACUCCUUUGCCUUUAAGUAAUUGAUUCUUGCUUUUUGCUUCAACACAAGUGGGUGGGCCAGUGAGGGAGCUCCUCCCAGAACAGGCUGCCUUUUCUCCUGAGAGCAGCAGGCACAUGCACUUGUUCCUUCGGGUUGAAUCUGAUUGCUAGCACCAGAUCUCAUACAUGGAGAGGGGUAUGUGAAGCUGAGAGGGGCCUGCAGUGUGCAGGGGCUAGAGACAUGAACACAACAAUGGUAAGCGUUUAUAUCUGCUGAGGCCGAGGAUCCUAUAGAAAAUUCAGAAACGGAGUGGGGAGGAGUCUGAUUUAUGGGAACUGGCAGCAAGGCUAACUGCAUGAGAAGCCUUUCACCCUUUUACUGAGUCCUUGGAUCUGUGGUUAACCCUUAUAAAAUAUAAUUCAGAUUCAAACCACAUCACUCCUCAACUCAAAAUUGUCCAAAAGCUCCCUGCCUCCCUCUGAGCCAGCUCAAGCCCCCGUAAUGACCCAUGAUGCUCAUAUGGCCGGGCCUGUGGCCUCCCUGGCCCCUCUCCUUCCCUUCCAGCUGGCUCCCUGCACUCCAUCCCAGGGGCUUCCUUCCUGAGGACACCAGUCAAGACCCAAUCUCCUCUGCCUGCAACUCUCCCUAGAGAGCUACCUGCUACCUCCCUGGCUUCCUUCACGUCUUUGCUCACAUUUCACCUUCUCAGUUGAGGCCCUCCCUGACCAGACUAUCUAAAAUCACGACUGAUCUCCCAAUCCAGCACUCCCUCUGCUCUUCUCUGAUUCACUUUGUCCACUACACACAUCACCAUCCAGAAUACUGCGUAUCCCAUUUGUUUGUCAUCUGUAAAGAUCCAAGAUGGCAGGAUUUUCAUCUGUUCUGGUCCCUGCUGGGUCUCUGGCAAACACACCAGCGCCUGGUGUAUGGGAGUGCUCAGCACAUUUCUGUUAAACAGAUGGACCGCUGCUGCCUAUGCAGGCCUGUGGGAUGGGGAUGGCAACAGGGUACUGGUAGAGAUCCACACGCCAAGCGCUUGAGCCCAGCAUCCUGCUCUCCUCCACCUGCCGCUGAGACCACUCUAACCCCCUAGCAGAUAUCCAAAAGCCAGCCAGGAAGGCUGAAGCCCCAGCCAGAACUCCCCAGGGGGCAUUUGGGAAGGCUAGGAGUUCUUGAUGCUGCUGCUUUUAAAGUCAACAGAAUAGGCAUGGCCACAGGCCAAACUUGAAGACAAAUCUAGGAUCCCACUGGCCCCUUUCCAGCAGCCAUAGCCCAUGAUGCCACAGAUAUUCUGUCCAACCACAAAGGGCAGUGGUCUCUCUCUUCAGAGUUGUGGAAGGAGACCUGAAUAGGGGAGCCGCAGGCUAUGGUGCAGAGGCCACUCCUAGGGGCCGGAGUCUCCAGAAGGGCUCCAAAGGACAUGGUGCUGCACUUCCCCAGCGUCACAUCCUAGCAGGCAGGCUGGGGACUCCCCGAGCUUUCAAAUCCUUGGGAUUCUGUCACUAGCUUCCAAAACAGAAAGGGCUGGGCCCUUUAUCAAAGUUACUCCACAAUGCCUAUAAUUAAGGGUUCUCUAGCAGGGGACUGAGAACCCACCCCCACUGUCACUGUCAGGUCCCAGGCUAAUCUCUAAUAUGGUUUUUCAUAUGCCGAGCCAGGUUCGAAGACCACCUGAAGGUCUUUCCACACUUGCUGCAUUUGAAGGGCCUCUCUCGAGUAUGAAAUCUCUUGUGGCUAAUGAGUUGUGAACUCUUGUUAAAAGUUUUCCCACAUAUGCUGCAUUUGUGGCACUUUUUCCCAAUGCUUAUGUCCUGGAGUCCAGUGAGCCUGGAGCUCUGGCUGCAAGCUUCUUUGCAGUCUUCGAGGGGCAUCUCUUCACUUGGUUUUAGCUUCUGUAAUCUCAACUUUGUGUCCUGAGAGGAAGACCGUGCAGGCGGGCUACGUUCAGCCUGUGCUGCUCUGGUGUGUUUCCUCUGGUGACUGGAAAGGGUAUGUCUCCCAAUGAACUCUUUCCCACACCACUGACAUUUGAAAGGUCUCUCUGUAGAGUGGAUCCUCUGAUGGUUAACAAGGCGAUAGUUUCUAUCAUAAGAUUUCCCACAUAGAUUACAUUUAUAGCGCUUCUCUCCACUGUGUAUUCCCUUAUGAUCUAAAAGGGUUCUUUUACGUGUAAAGGUUUUCCCACAUUCUUGACACCAAAAACGUUUCUCACCAGUGAGGAUUUUUGGCUCCACAUUUGGAGUCUUUUCACUUUCAUGGCAAUCAUACUGUUUUUGAAGAGAGUGAAUCCUCUGAUGUCGGUAGAGAUUGGAACUCCAUCUGAAGGCUUUCCCACACUCCCUGCACUUAUAUGGCUUCUCUCCAGUGUGAACUCUCUGAUGGAUGAGGAGGAAUGAGUGAUUGCGGAAGGCCUUGCCACACUGGCUGCAUUUGUAGGGCUCCUCUUUGGAGUGACUGCUCUGAGGAACCUGGAACACUGUGUCCUGACUAAAAGAUGGCCCGCCCUCAGGUUUUCUUUUCAUGGCAUGCUUCUUCUUAUGAACAAUAAAGGCUGACCUAUAGGCAAAGUCCUUCCCACAAUCGCUACACUGGUAAGGUUUCUCACCUGUGUGAAUUCUCUGGUGGUCAACGAGAGUUUUCUUUCUAGUAAAAGUUUUCCCACACUGCUGACACAGAAAUGUUUUCUCCACAGCGGGAGCACCCUGGGGCUGACUGCAGUCAGGAGAUUGCCUGAAGCCUUCACGACAUUCAUCUUGUUUGUAGAAUUUUUCCUCCUCAUGCAACCUCAUAUGACGAGUAAAGUUUGAUCUCCAUCUAAAGGUUUUCCUACAUUUGGUACAUUUAUAGGGCUUCUCCUGGGUGUGAAUCCUUUGAUGUUCAAGAACAUAUGACUUACAGUGGAAGGAUUUCCUGCACUGGCUGCAGUCAAAGAGUUUCUCCCCACUUUGGUCUCCCAAAUGAUGAUCAAACCCUGAGCUGUAGGUGAGAGCUGCCCUAUACUGAUUCAAUUCAAGAAAUUUCUUCUUAGCAUGGGUUUCUCGGUGCAGACGGUAGGCUGACAGGCGUCGGAAAGCUUUCUCACAUAAAUCGCAUUUAUAAGGCUUCACUCCAGUGUGAAUUUUCUCAUGCCGCGCACAGUUGGAACUCCACCGGAAGGCUUUCCCACACACCCUACAUUUAAAUGCUUUCUCUUGAGUGUGAAGUCUCUGAUGAUACGCAAGAUGGGAGCUAUGACUGAAAGUCCUUCCACAGUCACUGCACUUAAAUGACACUCCCACUGUGUGAAGACUCUGCCCACGUUGGUGAUGAGAGCUAAGGCUGAAGUCUUUUCCACACACGUCCUUUUUGUUCCCUUUCAGUCCACUAUGAAUUCUCUGAUGUAGGCUGAAGCCCCCAAUCAUGUGUCUGAGCCCCUUCCCAUAUUUCUUGUAGUCAUAGUGGUGUGAACUCAUUCUGAAGUGUUUGCCACAGCCAUGUUUAAGGGAUUCCUUUCUUCCAGAAACUCUCAAAUAUGUAACAUGUUUUAAGUCAAGACUAUUACUUCCUGAUACUUCAGAGUCUUUUCCUGUCCUGUGACUGAAAUUGGUCUCUUCUUUCUUAACUCUUACUUGUAUGGGAUUUUCACAUUGAUCCUUCUGCCUGCUCUUCUGUUGAAAAGAUUCUCUGAGCCCAAUUCCCUCAGAAACACUUGUCGCAGGACAUCCUGAUGACACAGCUAAGGUUUCUGCUUCUUCCAAAGGUUCCUGAUUUAAGAUGAAUUUGUUUGUUUUACUCUGGAGGUCAUCUCCUGACAAAAAAUAUAACACAAGAGAAUGUACUCUUUUCCCAUACUUGGAACUGCAGAAAGC